AGGGGGAGGCGGGUCCCGAGCCCUGGGCUGCGGGGCCAUCUCCGCGUCUCUGCUGCUCUCCAGGCUUCUCGGGAAACGCUGCUUUAUGCGGUUAAGUUUAUGAAGAGGAGGAAUCUCAAAAAGCUGCUGAAGGAGCAGAAACUGUGGAAGUUCAGCAAGUGCCUGAUCUGCACUUGCUGGGCAGCCCUGUUUUACACCAAGGACCUGGGAAACAAUUCCCAGCAACUGGGAAAAUCUGAGGUCAUCCAUCCACUCAGAGCAUCGACAGUCUUAUUUGCCUGUGGUAUCUUUCUGCUUGGUAAAAACAUCUUCUUGUUUGAGGCAGACAUCAGCUGUGUGCCCAUGAACAGGCAGUGCCACUUGUGCCCUGAGGUGCCCAGCUGGGAUUGGAUCUCUCCAAGAGCACCUGAGGGAGAGCAGAGCACCUUGCAAGCUGCAGGUCCCUGACAGCCCUGCAGAGCUCCUGCCCCAUCAACAUCUGCUCUGCUCCAGUCUGAAACAGGGUCCAGCAUGGUGCUGGGAUCAUCAGA
This is a long non-coding RNA of Zonotrichia leucophrys gambelii, 530 nucleotides long. RefSeq lists it as uncharacterized. The record is from RefSeq and is a predicted model, not a curated record. Lineage: Eukaryota; Metazoa; Chordata; Aves; Passeriformes; Passerellidae. The transcript is spliced from 4 exons.